CGACUGCGGACUGUGGCCAGCGAGGGAACCACAGCCGCAGAGAGACACCGCUAGCAUCGGUCCCAGCCUGGGGCAGAUGCGAGGCUAAAUGCAGCCCUUUCUUGUGAUUCCCACACAGCAGUCUACCUAAUACACCCAGGUCCCAGAUGAGGACACUGAGGCUCAGAGGCUAAGUAAGCAGGAAGAGCCAACCUUUCCCUUCGCGGAUGAUUUGGGGCACUCACUGACACAGCGGGCAGGCCAGGCGGCCGUCCACAGCCCGACCACGAAGGCAGCCGGCACAGAAGUCGUGGAAGCAUUCCAGCAGGCACGGACGCUCGUACUGCGCGUGGCACAGAGGGCACACGAGCGGGUGGCCGCUCGCGGUGUCCAGGUCGCCUAGGCCCUCUAGGGGCGUGAAGAUAGCUCCCGACAUCUGCAAGGACAGCGCAAGUCCGCAGCUGCGGCCCUCACGGUUGCGGGGCCGGUCCCUGGAGGUCCCUCCAUCCUCCUACCGCGGACCCUACCAGACGUCCAGUGGUUUUGGAACGGGGAGCUGCUAGGGCCCGGGAGGGUCUUGAGUGCCCAGCGCGGGGAGAACCAACAGGGAGGGCUGGCAAGGAGUCCAGCUACGCGCCGGCAGCCCCUGCUGCCCAGCGCUUGGAGCGCUGCUCGCAGCUGUGGCCUUCCCUAGGAGUCGCUGACCCUGGAAGGACAGGCAGCCGGACUGGGUUUUGCUUCCUCUGCACUCUCCCCUGUCGCCUCUCUUCACUUCUCCCUCUUCCCUCACUCCCACCCCUGGAAUUCCACACUCGUUGUCCUUCUGGUGACCUGCUGGCGACGCCCCUUCGGCGCAGCGCACUGAGCGUCGCUCCGCCGCAGUGCUCCGGCCCACCUCCAUCAGGGUGGUGCUGCCUCCGGCGCAGCAGGAGCCUAAACCUCACCGGCGGGUCCGCAGCUCUGCCCCGGGGCCACUCCGCCUGGAGGAGAGGGGAGGACGCAUAGGCUGGAAAGGACUGUGACCGGCCAGGGUCCGAGGUUCUACUAGACCCGGCGUGAAAUGACAGAACUCAGUGCGGCAGGAGUGCGGCGCAGAGCCAGCGAGAGGACACCUUGGCGGGGUCUUCAGGGGUGCAGGGGCCCCCUGCCUAGGUGCCAGUAGAGUGGGUUCUUGCAGGUCCAUUUCCUUGAUCGCCAAGUGGGGGCGCCAGAGAGCAGCAAACAUUUCUCCACAGGCUUUCCAGUGCUUGGGAGGCGGAGCAAGAGGCUUUGGAAUCCCAGCCCCACCUUGGUCAAGUUAGCGACCUUUUAGAACUGCACAAAUGAGGGGCUGGUCCCGUUAGCUCUGCGUGGGGAGGCACGUCUGUAAUCCCAGAGAUUGGGAAGGCUGAGGCAGGAGGAUCCUAAAUUCCAGGCCAGCCUCAGCAAUUUAGACCCUCAGUAAUUUAGGAAGAACUAGUCUCAAAACAAAAAGGGUUGGGUUUGUAGCUCAGUGGUAAAGCUCCCUUGGAUUUAAUCCCUAGUACCCCCCCCAAAAAAAAGGCUGGCCCCCACCGAGCUUCCGAAUGAUUAAGGCCUUAUCCCCGUUGUUGUCAGCCAAGUUCCCAGAAGAAGGCUGGGUUUAUUUGGGUGGGAGGUGGGGAAGGGAACUGCCUGUCUUUUCAGCAGAGCGCCCUCUGUUCCGAUGGCAUGGCCAAUGCUUGUUCGCCCCAUUACCUCCUUUCCUCAUUCUCAGUUAUCUUGUGUUAUCCCUGAAAGCUGCCCCUGUUUCUGCACCUCUUGCAACCAGCCUGACCACAGAAGGUGCUCAAUAAAAGUUUAAUAAAUAGUUAGAGGGAAAAAAUAUGAGCUAAUAUUCCAGCCGGGUUUUGAAGGAUGCGUUUGCCAGCAGAUGAAAGUAAAUGCUAGGUUGAAACCACCUGUUCUUUUAAGGUCCUUCCCUAACCCAGGCUGGAUUUACGCUUGCAGUCAUAACAAUAGUAACAAUGGCUAAUGUUUGCUGGCCAAGGUAUUUUCAGUGGUAUUAACUGAUUUAAUCCUGAUAACUUUAAAGAGUAGAAAAUGUUAACUCUAGUAGGUGGUGGAGCUGAUAUACAAACUAGGUAUGUGCUUUGUAAAUAAAUGACACAUCAGUUUCCCAGUA
Non-coding RNA from Ictidomys tridecemlineatus (thirteen-lined ground squirrel), 2122 nucleotides. NCBI's taxonomy places the organism in Eukaryota, Metazoa, Chordata, Mammalia, Rodentia, Sciuridae. The record is from RefSeq and is a predicted model, not a curated record.